Molecule: ribosomal RNA, 108 nt
Filed under: Prolemur simus (greater bamboo lemur)
Lineage: Eukaryota; Metazoa; Chordata; Mammalia; Primates; Lemuridae
Source: RNAcentral
GUCUGUGGUCAUAUUACCCUGAACUUGCCUGUCUUGAAAACCAAGCAGGGUCAGGCCUGGUUAGUACCUGGAUGAGGGACUACCUGGGAAUAUUGGGUGCUAUAGACU